This 198-nucleotide ribosomal RNA is filed under the name uncultured bacterium. RNAcentral describes it as "partial 16S ribosomal RNA". It matches the Rfam family "Bacterial small subunit ribosomal RNA", at positions 328 to 539 of the family's 1533-position model. The record is from RNAcentral.
ACGCUCGACACCUACGGGAGGCAGCAGUGGGGAAUAUUGCACAAUGGGGGAAACCCUGAUGCAGCGACGCCGCGUGAGCGAAGAAGUAUUUCGGUAUGUAAAGCUCUAUCAGCAGGGAAGAAACUGACGGUACCUGACUAAGAAGCACCGGCUAAAUACGUACCAGCAGCCGCGGUAAUCUGAGCGGGCUGGCAAGGC